Long non-coding RNA from Aricia agestis (brown argus), 85 nucleotides. RefSeq lists it as uncharacterized. The record is from RefSeq and is a predicted model, not a curated record. NCBI's taxonomy places the organism in Eukaryota, Metazoa, Arthropoda, Insecta, Lepidoptera, Lycaenidae. The transcript has 3 exons.
CGAAUUUUUUUUCCGUAUUCCUCAUUCCGUGAGACAAGCGCAAACGUUCGUUUUUAUCACGCGCGAACGCGCCGGAUUGAACUUG